ACUUUCCAGAUUCCUUACCCAUCAUAUAUAAGCAUUGGUCUGAGUGGCUAUAAAAGUAGGAAAUGUAAAAAUAUGCCGGACUUGGAUUCUUUACUUAUAUGCAAGUUUGUUUCAAAAAAAA
RNAcentral lists this small nucleolar RNA (121 nucleotides) under Echinops telfairi (small Madagascar hedgehog). Its description in RNAcentral is "Small nucleolar RNA SNORA61 (ENSETEG00000026945.1)". The record is from RNAcentral. Lineage: Eukaryota; Metazoa; Chordata; Mammalia; Afrosoricida; Tenrecidae.